RNAcentral lists this ribosomal RNA (427 nucleotides) under uncultured bacterium. RNAcentral describes it as "partial 16S ribosomal RNA". It matches the Rfam family "Bacterial small subunit ribosomal RNA", at positions 354 to 796 of the family's 1533-position model. The record is from RNAcentral.
GUGAGGAAUAUUGCACAAUGGGCGAAAGCCUGAUGCAGCAACGCCGCGUGAGUGAUGAAGGCCUUUGGGUCGUAAAACUCUGUCCUUGGGGAAGAAAAAAAUGACGGUACCCUUGGAGGAAGCCCCGGCUAACUACGUGCCAGCAGCCGCGGUAAUAAGUAGGGGGCAAGCGUUAUCCGGAAUUAUUGGGCGUAAAGAGUGCGUAGGUGGUUUUGUAAGCUUAGGGUGAAAGGCAGUAGCUCAACUAUUGUUAGCCCUGCGAACUGUGAGACUUGAAUGCAGGAGAGGAAAGUGGAAUUCCUAGUGUAGCGGUGAAAUGCGUAGAUAUUAGGAGGAACACCAGUGGCGAAGGCGGCAUCCUGGGCCAACACUGACACUGAGGCACGAAAGCGUGGGGAGCAAACAGGAUUAGAAACCCCAGUAGUCC